AUACGGAGGAUCCAAGCGUUAUCCGGAUUUAUUGGGUUUAAAGGGUGCGCAGGCGGAAGAUUAAGUCGGCGGUGAAAUUUUGCAGCUCAACUGUAAAAGUGCCAUCGAUACUGGUUUUCUUGAGUGUGGAUGAAGUAGGCGGAAUUUGUGGUGUAGCGGGGAAAUGCUUAGAUAUCACGAGGAACUCCGAUUGCGCAGGCAGCUUACUAAACCACUACUGACGCUCAGGCACGAAGGCGUGGGGAUCAAACAGGAUUAGAUACCCUGGUAGUCCACGCAGUAAACGAUGAUUACUGGCUGUUUGCGAUACAAUGUAAGCGGCUGAGCGAAAGCGUUAAGUAAUCCACCUGGGGAGUACGUUCGCAAGAAUGAAACUUAAAGGAAUUGACGGGG
Molecule: ribosomal RNA, 393 nt
Filed under: uncultured bacterium
Lineage: Bacteria
Description: partial 16S ribosomal RNA
Rfam family: Bacterial small subunit ribosomal RNA
Source: RNAcentral